CUAUAUCAAUUGGCAAAAUCUCCUGCGCUCUGCCCAUGGCCAGCCCGUAGCCAACCCUAUAUUAAGUAAUGCUUUCUGGCACCUGAAGGCUGUGACCCUGAAAGAACAAAUUAACGUUCUCAUGUACAGAACAGACACUCUAUACAACGAGAAACAUGCCCAACGCUUCAGUGGCCAACAUGGUCCUGCCUAUUGCCCCUUAUGUGGCAAUCAAGACAGCACCUCUCAUUCUCUACUUAGAUGCACCCACCCUCAGAUCAAUAGAAUGUGUAUUGAUCGGCACCAUCAAGCGGUCAGCCUGUGCUUCCAAGAAAUCAGCAAAGGUGACUCAUGUCUUUUCAUUGUGGGAAUGGACGCUACCAGCAGGGAAGAUC
This 374-nucleotide long non-coding RNA is filed under the name Dunaliella salina. RNAcentral describes it as "long non-coding RNA (DSAL_LNC000461)". Lineage: Eukaryota; Viridiplantae; Chlorophyta; Chlorophyceae; Chlamydomonadales; Dunaliellaceae. The record is from RNAcentral.